This 347-nucleotide ribosomal RNA is filed under the name uncultured eukaryote. RNAcentral describes it as "SSU rRNA". It matches the Rfam family "Eukaryotic small subunit ribosomal RNA", at positions 594 to 945 of the family's 1831-position model. The record is from RNAcentral.
AUAGCGUAUAUUAAAGUUGUUGCAGUUAAAAAGCUCGUAGUUGAACUUCAGAUUUGGUUGGGCGGUCCGCUUAACAGCGUGUACUGUCUGGCUGGGUCUUACCUCUUGGUGAGCCAGCGUGCCCUUUAUUGGCGUGCGUUGGGGAACCAGGACUUUUACCUUGAGAAAAUUAGAGUGUUCAAAGCAGGCCUUGGCCUGAAUACAUUAGCAUGGAAUAAUAAAAUAGGACGUGCGGUUCUAUUUUGUUGGUUUCCAGAGUCGCCGUAAUGAUUAAUAGGGAUAGUUGGGGGCAUUGGUAUUGAGUCGCUAGAGGUGAAAUUCUUGGAUUGACUCAAGACCAACUACUG